AGUCGUACGCUUUUUCUUUCCCGGAGCUUGCUCCACCGAAAGAAAAGGAGUGGCGAACGGGUGAGUAACACGUGGGUAACCUGCCCAUCAGAAGGGGAUAACACUUGGAAACAGGUGCUAAUACCGUAUAACAAUCGAAACCGCAUGGUUUUGAUUUGAAAGGCGCUUUCGGGUGUCGCUGAUGGAUGGACCCGCGGUGCAUUAGCUAGUUGGUGAGGUAACGGCUCACCAAGGCCACGAUGCAUAGCCGACCUGAGAGGGUGAUCGGCCACAUUGGGACUGAGACACGGCCCAAACUCCUACGGGAGGCAGCAGUAGGGAAUCUUCGGCAAUGGACGAAAGUCUGACCGAGCAACGCCGCGUGAGUGAAGAAGGUUUUCGGAUCGUAAAACUCUGUUGUUAGAGAAGAACAAGGAUGAGAGUAACUGUUCAUCCCUUGACGGUAUCUAACCAGAAAGCCACGGCUAACUACGUGCCAGCAGCCGCGGUAAUACGUAGGUGGCAAGCGUUGUCCGGAUUUAUUGGGCGUAAAGCGAGCGCAGGCGGUUUCUUAAGUCUGAUGUGAAAGCCCCCGGCUCAACCGGGGAGGGUCAUUGGAAACUGGGAGACUUGAGUGCAGAAGAGGAGAGUGGAAUUCCAUGUGUAGCGGUGAAAUGCGUAGAUAUAUGGAGGAACACCAGUGGCGAAGGCGACUCUCUGGUCUGUAACUGACGCUGAGGCUCGAAAGCGUGGGGAGCAAACAGGAUUAGAUACCCUGGUAGUCCACGCCGUAAACGAUGAGUGCUAAGUGUUGGAGGGUUUCCGCCCUUCAGUGCUGCAGCUAACGCAUUAAGCACUCCGCCUGGGGAGUACGACCGCAAGGUUGAAACUCAAAGGAAUUGACGGGGGCCCGCACAAGCGGUGGAGCAUGUGGUUUAAUUCGAAGCAACGCGAAGAACCUUACCAGGUCUUGACAUCCUUUGACCACUCUAGAGAUAGAGCUUCCCCUUCGGGGGCAAAGUGACAGGUGGUGCAUGGUUGUCGUCAGCUCGUGUCGUGAGAUGUUGGGUUAAGUCCCGCAACGAGCGCAACCCUUAUUGUUAGUUGCCAUCAUUUAGUUGGGCACUCUAGCAAGACUGCCGGUGACAAACCGGAGGAAGGUGGGGAUGACGUCAAAUCAUCAUGCCCCUUAUGACCUGGGCUACACACGUGCUACAAUGGGAAGUACAACGAGUCGCGAAGUCGCGAGGCUAAGCUAAUCUCUUAAAGCUUCUCUCAGUUCGGAUUGUAGGCUGCAACUCGCCUACAUGAAGCCGGAAUCGCUAGUAAUCGCGGAUCAGCACGCCGCGGUGAAUACGUUCCCGGGCCUUGUACACACCGCCCGUCACACCACGAAAGUUUGUAACACCCGAAGUCGGUGA
Molecule: ribosomal RNA, 1400 nt
Filed under: Enterococcus thailandicus
Lineage: Bacteria; Bacillati; Bacillota; Bacilli; Lactobacillales; Enterococcaceae
Description: bacterial SSU rRNA
Rfam family: Bacterial small subunit ribosomal RNA
Source: RNAcentral